RNAcentral lists this ribosomal RNA (768 nucleotides) under uncultured bacterium. RNAcentral describes it as "bacterial SSU rRNA". It matches the Rfam family "Bacterial small subunit ribosomal RNA", at positions 30 to 795 of the family's 1533-position model. The record is from RNAcentral.
UGAACGCUGGCGGCAGGCCUAACACAUGCAAGUCGAGCGGUAACAGGGGGUGCUUGCACCCCGCUGACGAGCGGCGGACGGGUGAGUAAUGCAUAGGAAUCUGCCCGAUAGUGGGGGAUAACCUGGGGAAACCCAGGCUAAUACCGCAUACGUCCUACGGGAGAAAGGGGGCUCCGGCUCCCGCUAUGGGAUGAGCCUAUGUCGGAUUAGCUAGUUGGUGAGGUAACGGCUCACCAAGGCCACGAUCCGUAGCUGGUCUGAGAGGAUGAUCAGCCACAUCGGGACUGAGACACGGCCCGAACUCCUACGGGAGGCAGCAGUGGGGAAUAUUGGACAAUGGGGGCAACCCUGAUCCAGCCAUGCCGCGUGUGUGAAGAAGGCCCUCGGGUUGUAAAGCACUUUCAGCGAGGAAGAACGCCUAGCGGUUAAUACCCGCUAGGAAAGACAUCACUCGCAGAAGAAGCACCGGCUAACUCCGUGCCAGCAGCCGCGGUAAUACGGAGGGUGCAAGCGUUAAUCGGAAUUACUGGGCGUAAAGCGCGCGUAGGUGGCUUGAUAAGCCGGUUGUGAAAGCCCCGGGCUCAACCUGGGAACGGCAUCCGGAACUGUCAAGCUAGAGUGCAGGAGAGGAAGGUAGAAUUCCCGGUGUAGCGGUGAAAUGCGUAGAGAUCGGGAGGAAUACCAGUGGCGAAGGCGGCCUUCUGGACUGACACUGACACUGAGGUGCGAAAGCGUGGGUAGCAAACAGGAUUAGAUACCCUGGUAGUC